GCCGAGGUAGCUCAGUGGUAGAGCAGGAGUUUGUGGAGCUCUUGGUCGUAGGUUCAAUCCCUACCCUCGGUACCA
This 75-nucleotide transfer RNA is filed under the name Rhodobacterales bacterium. RNAcentral's name for it is "tRNA-His". It matches the Rfam family "tRNA". Rfam says of the family: Transfer RNA (tRNA) molecules are approximately 80 nucleotides in length. The record is from RNAcentral. Lineage: Bacteria; Pseudomonadati; Pseudomonadota; Alphaproteobacteria; Rhodobacterales.